UGCGCAAGUCAUUGGGACAUAAAGCGAAACCUACAGGCAAAAUGAAAGUGAAUACUGGCCCUUAUACUCGCUUCGGUGAGGAAGAAGUGUCAGUAUAGGGAGGAUAGGUUGGUCCAUGUGGCCGACCUCGCACUCCCAGGGCGUCUCGUGUUCAUUGCGAACUGAGGCGCACCUAGAGCGUACAUGCUGGGACCCGAAAGAUGGUGAACUAUGCCUGGUCAGGAUGAAGUCAGGGGAAACCCUGAUGGAGGUCCGUAGCGAUUCUGACGUGCAAAUCGAUCGUACGAACUGGGUAUAGGGGCGAAAGACCAAUCGAACCAUCUAGUAGCUCGUUCCUU
Molecule: ribosomal RNA, 338 nt
Filed under: Paranillochlamys velox
Lineage: Eukaryota; Metazoa; Arthropoda; Insecta; Coleoptera; Leiodidae
Description: LSU rRNA
Rfam family: Eukaryotic large subunit ribosomal RNA
Source: RNAcentral